AGAGUGGUGAUGCGAAUAUCUAUUAGGGGUCACCUUUGGCUAAGUACUGUCGUGGCUAUAGAAUAUCUGAUAAGACCAUUGUGGUUGGCACGACCAUGCUCAUAGAUCGUGCCAUUUUUUAACAAGCCAAAAAUGUGCCGUGAGCAAAUUGUCGUCAUAUAUUUGAUCUGGUCAUUCCACAUGGGUAGUCGAAAGUUCGUAUCUGCCCUCAGUAGCUAGAAGUCAGAACGAAUUCGCGAAGCAUGAAAUAAAAAUCUAAGUAUUUCACGAUUUAUUUGAUUUUCUCUAU
RNAcentral lists this long non-coding RNA (289 nucleotides) under Carica papaya (papaya). RNAcentral's name for it is "long non-coding RNA (CPAP_LNC013014)". Lineage: Eukaryota; Viridiplantae; Streptophyta; Magnoliopsida; Brassicales; Caricaceae. The record is from RNAcentral.